RNAcentral lists this long non-coding RNA (984 nucleotides) under Mustela putorius furo (domestic ferret). RNAcentral's name for it is "lncRNA (ENSMPUG00000026091.1)". The record is from RNAcentral. Lineage: Eukaryota; Metazoa; Chordata; Mammalia; Carnivora; Mustelidae.
GGAAAAGACUGGAGAUAUUGCUCACUCUCUGUCUCUCUCUCUCUCUCCCUCUCUUCCUCUCUCUCCCCCUUCUCUCUUCUUAUCCCCUUUUCUCCUCCCUUCUUUCUCCCUUCAUGAACCAAGGGAAGACCAUGUAAGGACAUAAUGAGAACGUGACUGCCUGCAAAUCAGGAAAAGGGACCCCACCAGACAUUGAAUCUGCCAGCACCUUGAUCAUAGACUUUCUAGCCUCCAGAGUUGGCACUCUGAUCGCACCACUGUGAAUUCCUGCUCAGAAUCAUGGCAGCUGGAGAUCUUUCAUUUUACUUCAACCUGUUGUCCCAAAAGAAAACACAGUUACUCUUUCAACAAGUUUCAAGAUUUCAGAGGCAGUAACUCCUCAUUGACUGGAAGCUGUUCUUUCUGCUGCACAUCAAGAAGCCGCAAUAUCAAAGGAGAUGUUACAUUUUCCAAGUAGACUCAAAGAUUAUUACUUCUUUCACCCAAACUUCUGGGACUUCUUAAACAGCAACAGUUAUAAUAAAAAGAGGGAAGAUAAGAAGGAAAAAGAGGAAGAGGAAGCAGAGAAGAAGGAAACAGAAGAGCUCAUGUUUAUCAAAGUAUUCCUAUUUUCCAGGGGCUAAUCUGAGUACCUUAUUUAAAUUAAUUUGGUCUUCCAAACAUUAGGAUGAGGGGGUUUCCGCUGCCCGAAUGAGGGGUUUUUAAUUACUUCAGACUGAGGGCACCUGGCCACAACAGCUUCAACAGUAAGUGAGAAGAGGAUUUCUAAAGAGCUGACUCCUGCUCUGCAUUCAGGAAUUGGAACAAAAGAUUAAUUAUGCACACCUGGUGCUGCCCAUUUGCUCACAGACUCCAACAAGUUUCACUGGGUUUAUUAAUGUGGCUGCAUUUCCCACUAUUUCCCUUCAGCUCUUUGUGCAUCCUUAUUUCCCAUGGUCAUAUAUCAGAAUAAACUUUUAUUGGAAGAUCACACUUUUUCCCCUU